CGAAGAAGACGACAUGGCGUGAUAUUGGCUUGGCUCAUCUCGCGCAAGUAAUCUUUUUCGAUUGCAGAUUGCGAGGUGAGCCGAACCAAUAUCACUCAUGUACUCUUCAUU
RNAcentral lists this microRNA precursor (111 nucleotides) under Ananas comosus (pineapple). Lineage: Eukaryota; Viridiplantae; Streptophyta; Magnoliopsida; Poales; Bromeliaceae. The record is from RNAcentral.